This 288-nucleotide long non-coding RNA is filed under the name Phoenix dactylifera (date palm). Its description in RNAcentral is "long non-coding RNA (PDAC_LNC019496)". Lineage: Eukaryota; Viridiplantae; Streptophyta; Magnoliopsida; Arecales; Arecaceae. The record is from RNAcentral.
GUCGGGGCCCUCCUUCUAGCGCCAUCUGUUGCGGAAUUUUCACCCCGACAACAGCUGAGCAGAGAAAGCGACUGCGUCCCUUCCCGAGGUAUUGUCCGCUUUGGGGCUAACCCUGCGAGCGUGGAGCUCGCACAGGGCGCACACCCGACUUGCGGGUGCGGAGCUCGCACAGGGGGUUUGGGCGACCCCUCACGGUUUUGUCCCACAAAAGGGCCCUCGGGAGGAAAGGUUGGACCUCCUCAUUAUAAGGCAUAAACCUUUCCGCUGAUUAGCCGAUGUGGGACUAAA